UGGCAGAGCUAACAGAUGUCACUGGGGU
Molecule: non-coding RNA, 28 nt
Filed under: Rattus norvegicus (Norway rat)
Lineage: Eukaryota; Metazoa; Chordata; Mammalia; Rodentia; Muridae
Source: RNAcentral